This 327-nucleotide long non-coding RNA is filed under the name Medicago truncatula (barrel medic). RNAcentral describes it as "long non-coding RNA (MTRU_LNC002486)". The record is from RNAcentral. Lineage: Eukaryota; Viridiplantae; Streptophyta; Magnoliopsida; Fabales; Fabaceae.
AUCUUGAUCUCUAUCAGUUGCUCAAUUGGUUGGCGGCAUAUAGGGCAAUUGUUUGAUUGAACCCGCAAAGCUUUUGCACACUCGCCGCACAUACACUGAAAAAUACAACAAAUGUAAUAUGAAAAUAAUCAAAAUAGUGAAGUGGAUAUAAUGCAACAUAAUACACAUUAUGUGAAACCCAAACAAACAACUAGUAAUGAUACCAUGUGUCGGCAAGGUAAGACAGCAGUAUCCUUUGGUUCUGUCAUGCAUAUUACACACUCCUUUCCAGGAUCAUUACGAUCGAAAUCAGGUGCUGUUGAGUUACCAAUUCCAUACAACUCUCUG